UCAACGGCAGAGACGGGGGCGGGGCUUGUGGAAGCAGCUGCCGCAGGGUUGGCGGAUUUGGGAAGGAGUGAAGAUGGCGGAGUGAGGCGCACCGCCGGGAGCCGGCCUUUGGGCCGGGGGCGGAGAGGCCCCCGGACGGUCGAGUGCUUCUGCUGACUGGUGCGAGGAAGAACAUUUUCUUUGGCUUCCAGGUGCUUUUAUAUUCCUCUCGAGAAGAAAAUAAAAUUCUGAAGUCAGGAUUUGGCAAGUAUUCUGUGUUUCUCCUGGAGUAGGUAGUCCUUCUUCUUUUACCCAGCCACUUUCCCUAUUCUUGAAAUGUGGAUAUCUCUUCUCUACAUGUUUUACCUCCAUGAUUUGGAUUGGAAAAAGCUGCUUUUCUUUUGGUUCCACUUCUCAGAUUCAACAUAGAGAAGCUCCUAGGAUGCAGUCGUCUUGCUGAGCGCUCCAGGAAGAAAGAAGCAACUGACAUGCAUGUUCUGCUUUUGCUUAAUUAUAAAGAAAUUAUUUUGGAA
Long non-coding RNA from Panthera uncia (snow leopard), 512 nucleotides. RefSeq lists it as uncharacterized. The record is from RefSeq and is a predicted model, not a curated record. Lineage: Eukaryota; Metazoa; Chordata; Mammalia; Carnivora; Felidae. The transcript has 3 exons.